Non-coding RNA from Vicia faba (fava bean), 219 nucleotides. Lineage: Eukaryota; Viridiplantae; Streptophyta; Magnoliopsida; Fabales; Fabaceae. The record is from the annotation of a GenBank genome assembly.
AUGAUAAUGAAAAUAUGUAAACAAGUUUCACUCACUCUAGAUCCCCAUAAAGUAUCUUUGAUACUUUUUAGUUGCUUCAAUUUAUGGAAAAUUAAACACUAUCAUGAUAUCUAUGAUAUUCUUCUUUUUUUUCACAUAGAACUCAGAUUAGAAAAUAUGAAAAAAAUAAUAAAAGGAUCAAAUAAAAAACACAAACAAAAAGCCAAAAUUUCUUGUUGA